This is a long non-coding RNA of Quercus lobata, 877 nucleotides long. RefSeq lists it as uncharacterized. NCBI's taxonomy places the organism in Eukaryota, Viridiplantae, Streptophyta, Magnoliopsida, Fagales, Fagaceae. The record is from RefSeq and is a predicted model, not a curated record. The transcript is spliced from 2 exons.
AGAAUGCUAUGAAGUGUGCUAAAGUACAAGAUUUUUUUCUUCCAUGAGUGAGUUUUAGCUAUGAGUAAAUAGAGAGAAACAAAGAAAGAUUAUUAGCCUUGCUUCUUUGGACAUUAUCUCUAUCAGAUUGUGCGGUUUCUUGGAGUAAAGUAUUCUAGCAUUUUCUUUCAAACAACAUUUGCAGAUUUCACAUGUUAUGAUUCAAUUGAAGAAUUUGAAGGGUGAAUGAGCCUGACAAGCGGUCUGAGCAAAGAAUUGUGAAUGCAAAACUUAUUCGACAUGGAGCCUGACAACCAGUUGGAAGACUUUACUAUUAUAGACAUUCCACAAGUCUGGGACCUGGAGCCUGACAAACAACCCGAGUGUUGUAUCUACAGGGUUCCCCAAAAUCUCCGCAAUAUAAAUGAAGAUGCCUAAACUCCAAAAGAAAUUUCAAUAGGCCCUUUCCAUCAUGGCAAAGAAAAUUUUAAGAAAAAUGAAGAAUUGAAAUUGAGGUGUUUCUUGGACGUCUGUUAUCGAACUAAAAGGACCCAGGGAGAACUUGCAAAAUGCGUUCAAGAAGAAGAAUUAAAGAUCCGUCACUGUUAUGCAGAGAACUUUCAUGAAAUCGGCAAGGAAGAUUUCGUGAAGAUGAUUCUUUUGGAUUCUAUUUUUAUCAUUGAGCACUUGUGGUGUAUUACGCGAUACCCAGAAGAAAACAACAUCCACGAGAACGUCUUUGAUAUUUUGCAUGACUUGAUACUAUUAGAGAAUCAGGUUCCAUUUUCUGUCCUCGAGGAAUUAUAUAAUUUUGCCUACUUGGACCUCCCUAGUCCGGGCUAGUUAAAUAAAAAAAAUAAUUAAUCAACCACAUGGUAAAAAAAAAAAAAAAAAAAAA